GAGUUGAAUCAUGGCUCAGGAUGAACGCUGGCGGCGUGCCUAAUACAUGCAAGUCGAGCGAACGGACGAGAAGCUUGCUUCUCUGAUGUUAGCGGCGGACGGGUGAGUAACACGUGGAUAACCUACCUAUAAGACUGGGAUAACUUCGGGAAACCGGAGCUAAUACCGGAUAAUAUUUUGAACCGCAUGGUUCAAAAGUGAAAGACGGUCUUGCUGUCACUUAUAGAUGGAUCCGCGCUGCAUUAGCUAGUUGGUAAGGUAACGGCUUACCAAGGCAACGAUGCAUAGCCGACCUGAGAGGGUGAUCGGCCACACUGGAACUGAGACACGGUCCAGACUCCUACGGGAGGCAGCAGUAGGGAAUCUUCCGCAAUGGGCGAAAGCCUGACGGAGCAACGCCGCGUGAGUGAUGAARGUCUUCGGAUCGUAAAACUCUGUUAUUAGGGAAGAACAUAUGUGUAAGUAACUGUGCACAUCUUGACGGUACCUAAUCAGAAAGCCACGGCUAACUACGUGCCAGCAGCCGCGGUAAUACGUAGGUGGCAAGCGUUAUCCGGAAUUAUUGGGCGUAAAGCGCGCGUAGGCGGUUUUUUAAGUCUGAUGUGAAAGCCCACGGCUCAACCGUGGAGGGUCAUUGGAAACUGGAAAACUUGAGUGCAGAAGAGGAAAGUGGAAUUCCAUGUGUAGCGGUGAAAUGCGCAGAGAUAUGGAGGAACACCAGUGGCGAAGGCGACUUUCUGGUCUGUAACUGACGCUGAUGUGCGAAAGCGUGGGGAUCAAACAGGAUUAGAUACCCUGGUAGUCCACGCCGUAAACGAUGAGUGCUAAGUGUUAGGGGGUUUCCGCCCCUUAGUGCUGCAGCUAACGCAUUAAGCACUCCGCAUGGGGG
Molecule: ribosomal RNA, 889 nt
Filed under: Staphylococcus aureus
Lineage: Bacteria; Bacillati; Bacillota; Bacilli; Caryophanales; Staphylococcaceae
Description: bacterial SSU rRNA
Source: RNAcentral